GACGAACGCUGGCGGCGUGCUUAACACAUGCCAGUCGAACGGAAAGGCCCUGCUUUUGUGGGGUGCUCGAGUGGCGAACGGGUGAGUAACACGUGAGUAACCUGCCCUUGACUUUGGGAUAACUUCAGGAAACUGGGGCUAAUACCGGAUAGGAGCUCCUGCUGCAUGGUGGUGGUUGGAAAGUUUCGGCGGUUGGGGAUGGACUCGCGGCUUAUCAGCUUGUUGGUGGGGUAGUGGCUUACCAAGGCUUUGACGGGUAGCCGGCCUGAGAGGGUGACCGGCCACAUGGGGACUGAGAUAGGGCCCAGACUCCUACGGGAGGCAGCAGUGGGGAAUAUUGCACAAUGGGCGGAAGCCUGAUGCAGCAGCGCCGCGUGCGGGAUGACGGCCUUCGGGUUGUAAACCGCUUUCGCCUGUGACGAAGCGUGAGUGACGGUAAUGGGUAAAGAAGCACCGGCUAACUACGUG
Molecule: ribosomal RNA, 468 nt
Filed under: uncultured bacterium
Lineage: Bacteria
Description: partial 16S ribosomal RNA
Rfam family: Bacterial small subunit ribosomal RNA
Source: RNAcentral